UCUCUGGAGGCCCUUUCUGGCUCCCUCCUUGCCCUCACUCUUGGUGGGGGAGGGGGGUGGGCGUACUGAGGCAGGGUCCAGGGCUCAUCCAGCCCACUCCUGGAAACUCAGUGCUGUCCUUCAGGCUGUGUGGGUCAGGGAUAGGAAGGCAGGAUGCCAGUGAUAGAUGGAGUAUCCCAGUUACUCUCCAUAGUAACCCUGUGAGGUUGGUAAUGAGGCCCCCAUUGGACAGAGGAAGAAACCGAGGCCCAGGGAUUACACAGCCAGUAGAGAGAGGACAGAGCAUGGAGCUCCUGGAGAGGCAGUGGAUAAUUCUUCCCGACAGAGGAGCUGACUGUUGAACCCCUUCUUUGAAGGAGAGUCCGUGCUGCCAAAUCGAAGAAGAGAAACGCCCUGGCUGGAAAGCAGAGAGAACAGCAGGUCAGAAAGUCUGCUCAGCAGUAGCUGUGGAUGUCGCAGGUUCGGCUCAGAAACUCCAGUGUCCCUCAGCGUCUCGCCGGCACCCUCUGCCGGCGUGAGGUGGCGCUGCCUGGCCGCAUCCUGGGGGAGCGUCCACAUCCUCGGUCGACAAAAGGAGCGUCGACACUCUCGGACCUGGGAAAGUGACGGCCCAAACGCCAGGGAGGAGCCAGGACCUCGCCCUGAGCUAGCGGGAGGUAACGGCGGGGAGUCCUGGGGCGGAGACCGAGCGCUGGGGGCGUGGU
Molecule: long non-coding RNA, 704 nt
Organism: Homo sapiens (human)
Lineage: Eukaryota; Metazoa; Chordata; Mammalia; Primates; Hominidae
Exons: 3
Source: RefSeq, a predicted model, not a curated record